Pseudophryne corroboree (corroboree frog) is the source of this 838-nucleotide long non-coding RNA. RefSeq lists it as uncharacterized. Lineage: Eukaryota; Metazoa; Chordata; Amphibia; Anura; Myobatrachidae. The record is from RefSeq and is a predicted model, not a curated record. The transcript has 4 exons.
UUCUUUUCUAUAGGCGAUGCGGGUUAUCCAAACAAAUCGUGGCUCUUAACCCCAUUGUCUAAUCCUGUUGGUAGAGCAGAAAAACGUUACCAAGAGACUCACAAAGCAUCGAGGCAAAUAAUUGAACGUGCCUUCGGUGUACUUAAAAGCCGGUUUAGAUGUUUAGACACUUCCGGCGGUGCUCUUUUGCACUCACCGGCGAAGGUUUGCGGCAUGGUAAAUGCAUGUUGUAUUUUACACAACAUAUGUGUCGCAAACCGUUUGCCGGUGACUCUUCGUCGCAGUGCUUUCCGACGCGGGAACCGUUCUUCUGCUCUACCGGUGGGUAUGGACGAAGGAGAUGAUUCCCGACGGACAGUGAUCCAAAACUUUUUUUCUGUUGCCUAGUUUUACGUCCUGUUGAUGUACCUUCCCAAGCCUGUUUUUAAAGUUUAGUCCUGUUGACGACUCGUUACCCCCUGUUUUCUCCUGUUGUUGGGUUGCCGCAAAUAUUGGACCCUUUUAUCCAACUCUACCUUGGGCGACCUACUUGUGAUGUGGACCUGACCCUCUGCCGUGUAGCAGACAACCCCCCUCAGGUCUUGCGGAGUAUCCUUCCCAAGUGGCGUGGAUGUGGAGACAUGACAUUUCCCCUGAUGUACCAUGGGCGACCUACUUGUGAUGUGGACCUGACCCUCCGCCAUGUAGCAGACAACCCCCCUCAGGUCUUGCGGCGUAUCCUUCCCAAGUGGCGUGGAUGUGGAGACAUGACAUUUCUCCUGCUGUACCAUGAGCGACCUAACACAAUUCCACUGCAUCUCAUAUUUAACAUUGUAUUUACUAAUAAUUGAAAUAAAAA